GCGGCGUGCCUAAUACAUGCAAGUCGAACGAAGCUUUCUUUCACCGAAUGCUUGCAUUCACCGAAAGAAGCUUAGUGGCGAACGGGUGAGUAACACGUAGGCAACCUGCCCAAAAGAGGGGGAUAACACUUGGAAACAGGUGCUAAUACCGCAUAACCAUGAACACCGCAUGAUGUUCAUGUAAAAGACGGCUUUUGCUGUCACUUUUGGGAUGGGCCCUGCGGCGUAUUAACUUGUUGGUGGGGUAACGGCCUACCAAGGUGAUGAUACGUAGCCGAACUGAGAGGUUGAUCGGCCACAUUGGGACUGAGACACGGCCCAAACUCCUACGGGAGGCAGCAGUAGGGAAUCUUCCACAAUGGACGAAAGUCUGAUGGAGCAACGCCGCGUGAAUGAAGAAGGCCUUCGGGUCGUAAAAUUCUGUUGUCAGAGAAGAACGUGCGUGAGAGUAACUGUUCACGUAUUGACGGUAUCUGACCAGAAAGCCACGGCUAACUACGUGCCAGCAGCCGCGGUAAUACGUAGGUGGCGAGCGUUGUCCGGAUUUAUUGGGCGUAAAGGGAACGCAGGCGGUCUUUUAAGUCUGAUGUGAAAGCCUUCGGCUUAACCGAAGUAGUGCAUUGGAAACUGGAAGACUUGAGUGCAGAAGAGGAGAGUGGAACUCCAUGUGUAGCGGUGAAAUGCGUAGAUAUAUGGAAGAACACCAGUGGCGAAAGCGGCUCUCUGGUCUGUAACUGACGCUGAGGUUCGAAAGCGUGGGUAGCAAACAGGAUUAGAUACCCUGGUAGUCCACGCCGUAAACGAUGAGUGCUAAGUGUUGGAGGGUUUCCGCCCUUCAGUGCUGCAGCUAACGCAUUAAGCACUCCGCCUGGGGAGUACGGUCGCAAGACUGAAACUCAAAGGAAUUGACGG
RNAcentral lists this ribosomal RNA (912 nucleotides) under uncultured bacterium. RNAcentral describes it as "bacterial SSU rRNA". It matches the Rfam family "Bacterial small subunit ribosomal RNA", at positions 39 to 916 of the family's 1533-position model. The record is from RNAcentral.